UACGUAGGGGGCUAGCGUUAUCCGGAAUUACUGGGCGUAAAGGGUGCGUAGGUGGUUUCUUAAGUCAGAGGUGAAAGGCUACGGCUCAACCGUAGUAAGCCUUUGAAACUGGGAAACUUGAGUGCAGGAGAGGAGAGUGGAAUUCCUAGUGUAGCGGUGAAAUGCGUAGAUAUUAGGAGGAACACCAGUUGCGAAGGCGGCUCUCUGGACUGUAACUGACACUGAGGCACGAAAGCGUGGGAAGCAAACAGG
Molecule: ribosomal RNA, 252 nt
Filed under: uncultured bacterium
Lineage: Bacteria
Description: partial 16S ribosomal RNA
Rfam family: Bacterial small subunit ribosomal RNA
Source: RNAcentral